This 421-nucleotide ribosomal RNA is filed under the name Psallus roseoguttatus. RNAcentral describes it as "partial 16S ribosomal RNA". The stretch from base 105 to 421 matches the Rfam family "Bacterial large subunit ribosomal RNA", at positions 2077 to 2600 of the family's 2925-position model. The record is from RNAcentral. Lineage: Eukaryota; Metazoa; Arthropoda; Insecta; Hemiptera; Miridae.
GUCUCUUAAUUGGAGUCUGGUAUGAAUGGUUGGAUGAAAAAUUUACUUUCUUUAUUUUAAAAACUUAAAUUAAUUUCUGAUUUAAAAAGUUUAGAUUUAAUUAAAGGACGAGAAGACCCUAUAGAACUUUACUCUUUUUUUAGUAAUUACUUAUUUGAUAAUAAUUGGUCCUUAUUUCAAAAAUGGGUUUUGUUGGGGUGACAAAAAAAAAUGAAUAACUUUUUUUAUUUAUUUCAUUUAUGUAUGUUUAAAUUUGAUCCUUUACUAUGGAUAAUAAGAUUUAGUUACCUUAGGGAUAACAGCGUUAUCAUUUCAGAAAGUUCAUAUCUAUGAAAUGGGUUGCGACCUCGAUGUUGGAUUAAAAUUAGUGCCAGGGGCAGAAUAUUGGUUACUAGGUCUGUUCGACCUUUAAUUUUUUACA